AUUGAACGCUGGCGGCAUGCCUUACACAUGCAAGUCGAACGGCAGCACGGGAGCAAUCCUGGUGGCGAGUGGCGAACGGGUGAGUAAAGUAUCGGAACGUGCCCAGUCGUGGGGGAUAACGUAGCGAAAGUUACGCUAAUACCGCAUACGAUCUAUGGAUGAAAGCGGGGGCUCGCAAGACCUUGCGCGAUGGGAGCGGCCGAUAUCAGAUUAGGUAGUUGGGGGGGUAAAGGCUCGCCAAGCCGACGAUCUGUAGCUGGUCUGAGAGGACGACCAGCCACACUGGGACUGAGACACGGCCCAGACUCCUACGGGAGGCAGCAGUGGGGAAUUUUGGACAAUGGGCGAAAGCCUGAUCCAGCCAUGCCGCGUGCAGGAUGAAGGCCUUCGGGUUGUAAACUGCUUUUGUACGGAACGAAAAGGUUUGGCCUAAUAAGCUGAGCUCAUGACGGUACCGUAAGAAUAAGCACCGGCUAACUACGUGCCAGCAGCCGCGGUAA
RNAcentral lists this ribosomal RNA (500 nucleotides) under uncultured bacterium. Its description in RNAcentral is "partial 16S ribosomal RNA". It matches the Rfam family "Bacterial small subunit ribosomal RNA", at positions 30 to 523 of the family's 1533-position model. The record is from RNAcentral.